UCUUAUAUUGGGUUUGCGGUUGCAUGCAGCAUGCCUCCUACAGUGCUUUUUCUGCAAGUGAUCAUGUUGAUGCUCCAAUGCUGGAGUGAUUGAAAUCAGGUGCUCUUGGCUUGCAUUGAUUGUGUGUUUAACUGAUUCCUCACAACAAUAAGGACUUAGUGAUUCCUUGUGACAGUCUUCUUUCUCGCAAUUGCUGUGCAUCCUUAAUUCCUCUGCCUCAUUGCUGUCAUGGCAACUAUGUUCAUCUAGGCAACUCGAACUGUUUAAUUGUCCACAAGUGCUUGUGGAUCUGCAUGCACCUUUGGCACAGUGGUCUACACAUGUAGGCCUUUGCACAAGCGAUUUGUGC
RNAcentral lists this long non-coding RNA (349 nucleotides) under Elaeis guineensis (African oil palm). RNAcentral describes it as "long non-coding RNA (EGUI_LNC017736)". The record is from RNAcentral. Lineage: Eukaryota; Viridiplantae; Streptophyta; Magnoliopsida; Arecales; Arecaceae.